CUUCUCUUGAGAGCGGCGGACGGGUGAGUAAUGCCUAGGAAUCUGCCUGGUAGUGGGGGAUAACGUUCGGAAACGGACGCUAAUACCGCAUACGUCCUACGGGAGAAAGCAGGGGACCUUCGGGCCUUGCGCUAUCAGAUGAGCCUAGGUCGGAUUAGCUAGUUGGUGAGGUAAUGGCUCACCAAGGCGACGAUCCGUAACUGGUCUGAGAGGAUGAUCAGUCACACUGGAACUGAGACACGGUCCAGACUCCUACGGGAGGCAGCAGUGGGGAAUAUUGGACAAUGGGCGAAAGCCUGAUCCAGCCAUGCCGCGUGUGUGAAGAAGGUCUUCGGAUUGUAAAGCACUUUAAGUUGGGAGGAAGGGUUGUAGAUUAAUACUCUGCAAUUUUGACGUUACCGACAGAAUAAGCACCGGCUAACUCUGUGCCAGCAGCCGCGGUAAUACAGAGGGUGCAAGCGUUAAUCGGAAUUACUGGGCGUAAAGCGCGCGUAGGUGGUUUGUUAAGUUGGAUGUGAAAUCCCCGGGCUCAACCUGGGAACUGCAUUCAAAACUGACUGACUAGAGUAUGGUAGAGGGUGGUGGAAUUUCCUGUGUAGCGGUGAAAUGCGUAGAUAUAGGAAGGAACACCAGUGGCGAAGGCGACCACCUGGACUAAUACUGACACUG
RNAcentral lists this ribosomal RNA (669 nucleotides) under Pseudomonas sp. RNAcentral's name for it is "bacterial SSU rRNA". It matches the Rfam family "Bacterial small subunit ribosomal RNA", at positions 83 to 748 of the family's 1533-position model. Lineage: Bacteria; Pseudomonadati; Pseudomonadota; Gammaproteobacteria; Pseudomonadales; Pseudomonadaceae. The record is from RNAcentral.